RNAcentral lists this ribosomal RNA (497 nucleotides) under uncultured bacterium. RNAcentral describes it as "partial 16S ribosomal RNA". It matches the Rfam family "Bacterial small subunit ribosomal RNA", at positions 28 to 507 of the family's 1533-position model. The record is from RNAcentral.
GAUGAACGCUGGCGGCGUGCCUAAUACAUGCAAGUCGAGCGAACAGACGAGGAGCUUGCUCCUCUGACGUUAGCGGCGGACGGGUGAGUAACACGUGGAUAACCUACCUAUAAGACUGGGAUAACUUCGGGAAACCGGAGCUAAUACCGGAUAAUAUAUUGAACCGCAUGGUUCAAUAGUGAAAGACGGUGUUGCUGUCACUUAUAGAUGGAUCCGCGCUGCAUUAGCUAGUUGGUAAGGUAACGGCUUACCAAGGCUACGAUGCGUAGCCGACCUGAGAGGGUGAUCGGCCACACUGGAACGGAGACACGGUCCAGACUCCUACGGGAGGCAGCAGUAGGGAAUCUUCCGCAAUGGGCGAAAGCCUGACGGAGCAACGCCGCGUGAGUGAUGAAGGUCUUCGGAUCGUAAAACUCUGUUAUUAGGGAAGAACAGAUGUGUAAGUAACUGUGCACGUCUUGACGGUACCUAAUCAGAAAGCCACGGCUAACUACGUG